This 450-nucleotide ribosomal RNA is filed under the name uncultured bacterium. RNAcentral describes it as "partial 16S ribosomal RNA". It matches the Rfam family "Bacterial small subunit ribosomal RNA", at positions 354 to 796 of the family's 1533-position model. The record is from RNAcentral.
GUGGGGAAUAUUGGACAAUGGGCGAAAGCCUGAUCCAGCCAUGCCGCGUGUGUGAAGAAGGUCUUCGGAUUGUAAAGCACUUUAAGUUGGGAGGAAGGGCAGUAAGUUAAUACCUUGCUGUUUUGACGUUACCAACAGAAUAAGCACCGGCUAACUUCGUGCCAGCAGCCGCGGUAAUACGAAGGGUGCAAGCGUUAAUCGGAAUUACUGGGCGUAAAGCGCGCGUAGGUGGUUUUGUAAGUUGGAGGUGAAAUCCCCGGGCUCAACCUGGGAACUGCCUCCAAAACUGCAUGACUAGAGUACGGUAGAGGGUAGUGGAAUGUCCUGUGUAGCGGUGAAAUGCGUAGAUAUAGGAAGGAACACCAGUGGCGAAGGCGACUACCUGGACUGAUACUGACACUGAGGUGCGAAAGCGUGGGGAGCAAACAGGAUUAGAUACCCGAGUAGUCC